UUGGAGGGCAAGUCUGGUGCCAGCAGCCGCGGUAAUUCCAGCUCCAAUAGCGUAUAUUAAAGUUGUUGCAGUUAAAAAGCUCGUAGUUGAAUUUCGGGAUUAGUACGUUGGUCGUGCCUUCGGUACGUACUGGUGUUACUGAUUCCUACCUUCUGACGAACCAUCAUGUCAUUAAUUUGGUGUGGCGGGGAAUCAGGACUGUUACUUUGAAAAAAUUAGAGUGUUUAAAGCAGGCUCGCGCUUGAAUACAUUAGCAUGGAAUAAUGAAAUAGGACGUUGACCCUAUUUUGUUGGUUUCUAGGAUUGACGUAAUGAUUAAUAGGGAUAGUUGGGGGCAUUAGUAUUCAAUUGUCAGAGGUGAAAUACUUGGAUUUAUUGAAGACUAACUACUGCGAAAGCAUUUGCCAAGGAUGUUUUCAUUAAUCAAGAACGAAAGUUAGGGGAUCGAAGACGAUCAGAUACCGUCGUAGUCUUAACCAUAAACUAUGCCGACUAGGGAUCGGAUGAUGUUAUUUUUAAUGACUCAUUCGGCGCCUUACGGGAAAC
This 546-nucleotide ribosomal RNA is filed under the name uncultured Glomeromycotina. Its description in RNAcentral is "SSU rRNA". It matches the Rfam family "Eukaryotic small subunit ribosomal RNA", at positions 548 to 1098 of the family's 1831-position model. The record is from RNAcentral. Lineage: Eukaryota; Fungi; Glomeromycota.